This is a long non-coding RNA of Bos taurus (domestic cattle), 3299 nucleotides long. The record is from Ensembl. NCBI's taxonomy places the organism in Eukaryota, Metazoa, Chordata, Mammalia, Artiodactyla, Bovidae.
GGCAAAAGGAGGCCGUAGAGCAAAACCUGUGCAUGGAAGCCCUGGCCUGCUUUAGCGUGGUUUGGAGCAUCCUCAAGGAAAUGGCAACCCACUCCAGUACUCUUGCCUGGAGAAUCCCAUGGACGGAGGAGCCUCGGCGGCUACAGUCCACGGGGUCGCAAAGAGUCGGACACAACUGAGCGACUUCACUCACUCAAGAUUUUUAAUAAGGAUCACAACCGACGGGCAGGCUGGAGGCGGAGAUGCAGGAGCAAACGACAUCAGAAAGGUCAGAGCAGCUCUGUUUGUUUUUCCAAACUGUCAGAGUAAAGUUACAACGUGCCACCUGGGUAAGCCACUAGCAAAGUCCCCGGAUGACGUCCACUGUAACCGCAGGGAUUUCUCACAGUGGGGAUUGCUAGAAGAAGAAUUUGCUUGGGGGAAGGGAGCUGCCAGAAACCAGCCCCAGCGAAGCACCGGGAUGGCUCAAUGCUUGACAUGACAACGGUCUUAUUUUUAAUCCUCAACCAGACCCUCUGAGGUGCCACCUGUGCUGAGACCACCUCCCUCCACCAUUCUGCAACUCCCAGCCUCCUCCGCGCACAGUGACGUCAUUUCCUGGUUUUACUUCUGGAUGGUUCUCCAGUCUGCCUACGGUCACACCAAAACUACGCAGCUCCUUCUGAGCCAGGCAGUGGGCACCCAGCAUGUGAAAAGGCCACGCGAGGAGAGAGCCCCCACCAGAAACCAGUCUUGGACUUCCAGCCUCCAAAAGGGGGUGUGGUUCUCCACGAUGGAAGCCCAGGCCGACUAACGACAGCUCUACACGAGGGAGGAGACCACCCCCCACACAGACGGCAGUGUGAAGGGCUCUUCCUCUGGGUGUUAUUUCCAUUUCACAUGUAAAGGCACAGGCAGAGCUCACUUGUGAAGCUGGGUAAGUGCGGUUCACUCCGGAAGUGCCUAGACCCUACUGCACUGCCUUGCGUCUUCAUAUUUCAGGCUUUCAAAUCACCUUGCUGCUGCCACGCAGAUAAAGUGGAAGCCUGUUCUACAUCCUGCAGCAAUUUUCAUGUGGGGAAAUAAUAAUAUAGGACAAAGAAUUAUUGAUGUCACCGUCUAGGUCGUAGCUUGAAUCCAUCUUUCCCUACAGAUACUCUGUUGAUUUAAUUGAAGGGAAGCCCAAAUGAUAAUAAAACAGAUGAUAAUGAACACGCUAGCAAUAGCGAACCUUCCCAGAGUACUUUCUCUAAACCAGACGCUGUGCUUUCAUGACUAAAACCAUGAUCGCAAACUGGGUUACUGUGAACCCAGCUUCCGAAGGAGGUGGAUCCCUCAGUUAGGCCCAUUUUACAAAGAAGGAAAUUGAAACCUGGAGAGGUUAAGGAACCAUCCUGAGAGUCAGAAUACUUCAGGGACCUCCCUGAUGGUGCAGUGGCUGAGACUCCACGCUCCCAGUGCAGGGGACUGGCCUCAACCCCUGGUCAGGGAACUAGAUCCCAUGUGAUGCAACCAAGAGUCCAAGCUGCGACAAAGACCUGGCCCAGCUAAACUAAACAUAUGAAUAUAGGACGAUAUCUAGUGUGCAUGGGUGACGGUGUUAGCUGCUCAGUGGUGUCAGACUCUUUGUGACUUCAUGGACUGCAGCCCGCUAGACUCCUCUGUCCAUGGAAUUCUCCAGGCAAGAAUACUCUAGUGGGUUGCCAUUCCCUUCUCCAGGGAAUCUUCCCCAUCCAGGAAUCGAACCCAGGUCUCCUGCACUGCAGGCAGAUUCUUUUUUUAAAUUUAUUUUUUUAUUGAAGGAUAAUUGCUUUACAGAAUUUUGUUGUUUUCUGUCAAACCUUAACAUGAAUCAGCCAUAGGUAUACAUAUAUCCCCUGCCUUUUGAACCUCCCUCCUGUCCCCCUCCCCGUCCUUCCCCUCUAGGUUGAUACAGAGCCCCUGUUUGAGUUUCCUGAGACAUGCAGCAAAUUCCUGGUGGCUGUCUAUUUCACAUAUGGUGAUGUAAGCUUCCAUGUUUCUCUUUCCAUACAUCUCCCCCUCUCCUCUCCUCCCCUCUCCCCCAUCUGUAAGUCUAUUCUCUAUGUCUGUUUCUCCAUUGCUGCCCUGUAAAUAAAGUCUUCGCCUAUAUAUGUGUACAUAUAUUUUUAAAAAAGGAUAAUUCAGUCUUAGUCCUAGCCCUACCACCAACAAGCCUUAUAAUUAUAGUCCAAAAUACAAAUCCAAGUCCUAAUCCUUGGUACCUUGAACAUGACCUUAUUUGGAAAAAGGGUCUUUGCAAAUAAUAUUAAGUUGAAGAACUCGGGAUGAGAUAAUUCUGGAUCACUUGUGUAGAUCUUAAAUUCAGUGACAAAAGUUCUUGUAAGAAAAGGAGAAGACAGAGAUGCAGAAAGGAAGUCCGUGUGAAGACAGAGGCAGAGACUGGAGUGAUGUGGCCACAAGCCAAGAAAUGCAAGGAGCACCCAGGAAUUGGAGGAGGCAGGAAGAAUUCGGCCCUAGAAGCCUUUGAGGGAGCAUGGCCCUGCUGACACUUCAAUUCAGGAUUUGCGUCCUCCAAAACUCUGAGAAAAGAAGUUUCUGUUGUGUUAAGCCAGAACACAGCAGGUUCUAGGUUGUUGUCAUGGCAACCCUAGAAACUAAUGCUGUGACUACAGGUGGCUCCCUCUCAGGUUCUAGGUUGUUGUCAUGGCAACCCUAGAAACUAAUGCUGUGACUACAGGUGGCUCCCUCUGGGUCUUGGGUUCCUCAUCGGUUACAGGCGAGGUUGGGAAUAUACCAGCCUCUGAAUGUGAGGUGAUGAACCUGGGCCAGUCACUGUGGGGGGAAUAUGUAAGCCAGUGGUUCUAGGACAGGGAACAUCUGGGAAUGUCCAGACCCUGAGGCUGGGAAAGACUGAGGCCAGGAGAAGGGGGCGACAGGGGAUGAGAGGGUUGGAUGGCAUCACUGACUCGAUGGACGUGAGUUUGAGCAAGCUCUGGGAGAUAGUGGAGGGCAGGGACACCUCAUGUGCUGCAGUCCAAGGGUCACAAAGGGUUGGGUAUGACUUGGCGACUGAACAACAACAAUGAGAGACUGGUUUUCACGACUGGGUGAGAAGCGGUGGUGAGACUCCUCCUGGCGUCUGGUGAGUGGAGCCCAGGGAAGCUGCUCAGCACCCUCCAACACGCGGGACGGACCCCGCCCCAGAGGACAGCCUGGCUCAAGGUGUGAGCAGCGCGCAGGCUGCAAACCCUGGCGUACACCAGGCUAAGGUGCGGCCUACAAGCAACACCUUAUGUGACUGAGAAGUUCACAGUCACUUCUCAGGGCAGGUGAUAGUA